This 505-nucleotide ribosomal RNA is filed under the name uncultured bacterium. Its description in RNAcentral is "partial 16S ribosomal RNA". It matches the Rfam family "Bacterial small subunit ribosomal RNA", at positions 28 to 507 of the family's 1533-position model. The record is from RNAcentral.
GACGAACGCUGGCGGCGUGCCUAAUACAUGCAAGUAGAACGCACAGUUUAUACCGUAGCUUGCUACACCAUAGACUGUGAGUUGCGAACGGGUGAGUAACGCGUAGGUAACCUGCCUGGUAGCGGGGGAUAACUAUUGGAAACGAUAGCUAAUACCGCAUAAUAUUAAUUAUUGCAUGAUAAUUAAUUGAAAGGUGCAAUUGCACCACUACCAGAUGGACCUGCGUUGUAUUAGCUAGUAGGUGAGGUAACGGCUCACCUAGGCGACGAUACAUAGCCGACCUGAGAGGGUGAUCGGCCACACUGGGACUGAGACACGGCCCAGACUCCUACGGGAGGCAGCAGUAGGGAAUCUUCGGCAAUGGACGAAAGUCUGACCGAGCAACGCCGCGUGAGUGAAGAAGGUUUUCGGAUCGUAAAGCUCUGUUGUAAGAGAAGAACGGGUGUGAGAGUGGAAAGUUUACACUGUGACGGUAUCUUACCAGAAAGGGACGGCUAACUACGUG